GACGAACGCUGGCGGCGUGCCUAAUACAUGCAAGUCGAGCGAACAGACGAGGAGCUUGCUCCUCUGACUUUAGCGGCGGACGGGUGAGUAACACGUGGUCAACCUAACUAUAAGACUGGGAUAACUUCGGGAAACCGUAUCUACUACCGGAUAAUAUAUUGACCCGCAUUGUUCAAUCGUGAAAGAAGCUUUUUCUGUCACUUAUAGCUUGCUCAGCGCCGCAUUAGCUAGUUGGUAAGGUAACUGCUUACCAAGGCAACGAUGGGUACCCGACCUAAGAGGGUGAUCGGCCACACUGGAACUGAGACACGGUCCAGACUCCUACGGGAGGCAGCAGUAGGGAAUCUUCCGCAAUGGGCGAAAGCCUGACGGAGCAACGCCGCGUGAGGGAUGAAGGUCUUCUGAUCGUAAAACUCUGUUAUUAGGAAAGAACAAAUGUUUAAGUAACUAUGCACGUCUUGACGGUACCUAGUCAGAAAGCCACGGCUAACUACGUG
Molecule: ribosomal RNA, 497 nt
Filed under: uncultured bacterium
Lineage: Bacteria
Description: partial 16S ribosomal RNA
Rfam family: Bacterial small subunit ribosomal RNA
Source: RNAcentral